Molecule: transfer RNA, 73 nt
Filed under: Steatornis caripensis (oilbird)
Lineage: Eukaryota; Metazoa; Chordata; Aves; Caprimulgiformes; Steatornithidae
Description: tRNA-Ile
Rfam family: tRNA
About the family: Transfer RNA (tRNA) molecules are approximately 80 nucleotides in length. Their secondary structure includes four short double-helical elements and three loops (D, anti-codon, and T loops).
Source: RNAcentral
GGAAAUGUGCCUGAACGUAAAAGGAUCACUUUGAUGAAGUGAAUAUAGAGGUAUACCAGUCCUCUCAUUUCCU